Sorghum bicolor (sorghum) is the source of this 3775-nucleotide long non-coding RNA. RefSeq lists it as uncharacterized. The record is from RefSeq and is a predicted model, not a curated record. The transcript has 4 exons. Lineage: Eukaryota; Viridiplantae; Streptophyta; Magnoliopsida; Poales; Poaceae.
AAAUAAAAAUAAAAAUAUAAACGAAGAGGAAAAUAAAGAAAUGAGAACAAUAACAAAAAUGGAAAACAAAAGAAAGCCGAUCCCGCGACAUGAAACACGAAAAGAAAAAAAAUAGAUACAAAAAAGAAAAGAAAAGAAAAGUUAAAUAAAGAAAGGAUAAGAAAAAAAAAAGAAAAGUAACGUACUCACCUGAAUGUCGUCGACUCCCUCGCCUCGGAGGAACAGCGCCCGCGGAAAGCAGCACGAGCACGGCCUCCGCGUGGGGGUUAUGGACUCAGGGGUAAGAAGGACAUUUUUCUACAUGGGACCCACGUGUCUGAUCUUUUGAACGUCACAAAACAAACGGAACUGAGACGGAAUGACACACGGGUAUAGUCGAAGAUGAAGUUGGUCACAGCGGUGCGAAACAACUUUUUAGUGGCCUGCUGGUUUGGUCAAUCUUUCAUAAUGACAUACAGGUAAAAAGCUUUGGAUCCAUAAAGCACGAUGUAACGGGAAACAGAGCAGACCAGAGUGGCUCAAAUCCGAGUGAAAUCCCUGUGUUGUUGCCGUUCUCGCAUGGGUGUCUCUUGCAUCACCUCAUGACCAUGGCAUGACUAUGGCAAAUCGUUGAGUAACGUGUCGCAGAAACUCUGGAUUAUUGAUGCAUGGAAGCAUACGGCCGUCCUGUAGUCUAAAAUCUAGUAACCACAACGCAUCCUCCCUCGCGUACAGGAGUAGUCUUUUUUCAUGGGCCGACGCAGUUCAUUGUCCGUUGGCCCGACAAUAUUAUAUCUCUACAACUAAAAAGAGGCAAAUGGUAUCGUCAUACCCUACUGAUCGGCCUGCCUCCCCGCUGCCCCCUUUCUCUCGCCCAUCUCGCCCAGCUACGACCAACCGCCGCAGCUCCCUUCUUCUGCGGUUCCACGCAGCCCCCCAGCAGCUCCCCCAGCACGUCCUUCCAUCGCAGGUCCCCACCACCCGCUCGCCACUGGACGCACUUCACCAUCGGCGUCAACGUCCGCCUGCUCGACUAGCUCUGCUAUCACCGGCGCGGUCCUUCGUUCCGGUGUCGGUGGUCGCGCUGCGGUCGAGCCAGUCGUCCCAGUGUCUGCCACGGGCCAAUCCUGUGUCGUGGGCAGGAGCGCCGCCGCGAGGUGCGCGAUAGGGGUAAGAUGGGAGGCCGCGAGGUGGAGGACAGUCGGGGUGAGGUGCGGCGCCACCGCCACCGCUUCUGCUGGAUUUCGCCACGAGUGGCUCUGCGGCUGCUCACCAGCGAUGAAUCUCGUCGGUUCUGGGGUGUGGAGUAGGAGCACUGCCUCUUCGAGAAAAACCCGACCCCUCCUGCUGCCGCGUGCAGCAGCGAAGGACCUGCUUGAGGAGUUCGAGGAGGAGGCAAUUGAAGGCGAGAGCAUCCAGAGCCUCAUCUUCAUGGACCUUUCUCUCCUAACGAGCUGGAAUAGCUAGCACGAGGAGGAGGCUAUAGCAGGCCACAACACUGAUUUAGGAUGACACCGUGCUGUCCACUAAGCAGGUUGGUUUCACAAUAUAUUUUUUUUGGAAUCCUGUAUGCUACUGAGAAUGUGCAGAUUUAUUAAAAGGCUUUUGAUGGACUUAGACUGCUCAUGUAGCUACCACCAAUCUAAAUGGGUCAUCCUGGCAGAUUGUCCUUUGUGUCCCUCUUCUUGCACACAAAUCAAAUCUUAGCCUUUUAUCAAAUGAUAUGAAUAAGAAGAUGCACAACACACUAAGUGGAAGCAAAAUCGCAGUCAAGUUCUUGCUUAACCAGCAAGAUGCAGAAACAGUUGAUCUGGAGGCGAAGAACAUGUAUGGAGAGACUCAACAUAUGGCAGUGAAGAACAGUUCUUGCAGAUCAACAAAUCUACUCCUUGAUCAUGGUGCACACGUAGAAACCAAAGCCAAUGUAUGAUCUACCUGUUUUGGGUUCUACCUAGGUUCUGAAAUAGAAGUAUAGAACCUUUGUGAGCCUUUAGUUUGUACUGGUAAUUGGCUCACAUGCUAGAGUAACAACUAAACUUCAACAGCUUUAAAGUUUCUUCCUUGACUAUAGAAUAUGUUUCCAAUGUGUUCAUGCAUGCUUGUGCAACAGUGCUUUGUAUCAGAUUUGGACAACUCACUCGUAUUGUCGGGUAUAAGCAGUUUAUUGGAAAGUUCCUUUUAUUUGUGCUAUGUAUUCUAUGCUGAUGUAAUGUGCAUAACAUUUGAAACUGUAAAUCCAAAUAAAUUGCUAUGUAGACCUGCUUCAUGUGUUGGUUGUUAGAUGUUAUUUACCACACACACAGAUGUGUUCGAGUUAUUGUAGGAAUCAUCCUCUUUUCAUUACCAAUUUAUGAUGUGAGAGAAUUGUUCCUACGGAAUCAAGAAUAGAAGGUAUUAUCUUUUCUAGGUCACUGAGAUGUGAAUAAAAUUGUGCAUCGACUCACUUUUAAUAUUAGUUUUCCAUGUAUUAGCAGUCCCUAUUAUAUGUGAGGUAGUAGUUCAAAUUUUAUGUUCAGUGAGAACUUGAGCAGGUGAAAAUCAUGUGUGAAGGAUUGUGAAUUAAUUUUUGUAUGUUCUUACUGAUUUGUAGGUAGGAGACUGGCUUUGCUUGUGUUUGCUUGGUCCAAAAUAACCCCUUAUUCAGAAAUUCAGUCAUGCCCAAUAGGUAGCUCCACAAAGAUCUGUGAAUGUGAUACUCUGUUUUGUUCUUUCUACAUAUGGGUUGGGCAUAUGUUGUGUUCUGUAUAGAAAUAUUCACCAUUUGUUUUUUGGUGCCUUGAUCAGGCAUGGUGAGUUAGCGCUUGGGGCAAUCUAAUAGAAGUUCCAUUUACUUUACUAUUCACUUUGGUCAAACAUUAGUAAUCUGAACUAUCACUCACGCACUUAUCUUUGAAGCUUCAUUGCCCCUGGUAAACUUUGACAUGAAGUGAAAAUCACGUAAGCAAUGAUUCAGCUUUUGUUUGGUUUAGGCCUUUAGUGGAUAGUUUUUUGGGUUCAUUGCAAAGUGCAAUUUCCUGGCAAUAUGUAGGGAAUAUGGUUUUGGCUCCUGGCAACUUUGCUUCGUAUGAGUCUAAUCCGUAUAAACUUAACAAACUGACCUUUGGUAUUUGUGGCAUUUUAUUCAGUACUGCUACCUUAGAGUUGGUUAUGUCAGGUUAGCUCGUCAUUUAGUAAAUAAGUAUGCCCUGCCACUAGGAGGUUGUAGUACCACUAGCCUGAGGACUAUAUCACUGCAUGUACGUUGCAUGCCUGCUUCCCUGCGUUGCUAUUAGUCUCUUCAUCUAAGGUUGGCAACUUUUUUUAUGAUUGAAUUUUGGCCUUUUGCUGUUAGCACAACCUAUGAUCUUUUUAAUGUUAGCACAAUAUCCAUCCUCACUAUUCACUGUGUGUUUGUUGAUUCAAUCCCGUUUUGAGUUCUCCCAGUAAUCUGUUCUAAUAAAAUUUUGAGAGCAGCUAAUGGUGUGAAGUAAUAUGAUCUUGUCGAACGGAAAGGGCCAGUUGCUGAAAAGGGCUCCAACUUUGCAGCUCUGAAGGUUCAUUUUGACUGCAUAUACCGCAGCAUCAACACAGUGUCAAGCUGCGAGUCCAAACUCCAAGCAAGGCCAGGAGUAUCACCCACGUGACAUGGCAAACCAUACCUGAUCUUUGUGUUAGUUUUGCUACUCAUGCUCUAAUUAUUCAUCUUUUAUGAAGAUUCAUGUAGCAGUGAUAUUGCGAACAUCGUUUUGGAAAUGUUAUUUUUAAGAUAACGAUAUAACACACGUUUAUAUUUAUAUUAUCAUGUUAUAUUAUUUUC